Small nucleolar RNA from Hemicordylus capensis (graceful crag lizard), 87 nucleotides. RefSeq annotates it as small nucleolar RNA SNORD103/SNORD85. NCBI's taxonomy places the organism in Eukaryota, Metazoa, Chordata, Lepidosauria, Squamata, Cordylidae. The transcript has a single exon. The record is from RefSeq and is a predicted model, not a curated record.
UCUAGCAGUGAUGAUGCUCUUGCCCUCACUGAGAACAUGGUUCGAUAAUGAGAGCUUUUUGUAAGUACUCACUAGCUCUGAGCUGGG